Molecule: long non-coding RNA, 356 nt
Filed under: Homo sapiens (human)
Lineage: Eukaryota; Metazoa; Chordata; Mammalia; Primates; Hominidae
Description: non-protein coding lnc-PRR16-1:2
Source: RNAcentral
AUCAACCUUGGGAGCUAGAUAUUAAUGUCUAUCCUUUUUGUUGUUGUUGUUUACAGAAAGGAAAACUGAGUCUCAAAAACUAUCUUGUACAGAUUCUCAGACCUACCAUGGGAUGGAACUUACUUAUGAGCCCCAGACUCCAAAAACAUCACAUCCUACCAGAUUCAUGGCUGAAGCGUCUGAAACAAGACUAACAAGACUAACGAGAUUAACAAGAGAAAAACAUACAAAUUUUUAAAAUAUAAGUUGUAUGUGACAUAGAAGCAUUUAUAAAGAAAAGAAGACCAGAAGAAACGGGUAGACCUGGGUAUUUUUAUGCUACUUUUGAUGAAAAUGGGAAUGCUUUUGGAGACGCA